UGCAGCCGUGUCAAAUUCGGUGCUCGCCUGCUCUGUGGCGGGCACCGGCCCUCUGGCUGCCACAGCAGACGUGCCGUUCAUGGGCCCCGGGACCAGGCUGUUGGACCUGGGGAUAGAAGCAUGCUGCAGAUAACA
Molecule: small nucleolar RNA, 135 nt
Organism: Varanus komodoensis (Komodo dragon)
Lineage: Eukaryota; Metazoa; Chordata; Lepidosauria; Squamata; Varanidae
Source: Ensembl